UUUGGCCUACGGGACGCAGCAGUGGGGAAUAUUGGACAAUGGGGGAAACCCUGAUCCAGCGACGCCGCGUGAGUGAAGAAGUACUUCGGUACGUAAAGCUCUAUCAGCAGGAAAGAAAAUGACGGUACCUGACUAAGAAGCCCCGGCUAACUACGUGCCAGCAGCCGCGGUAAUACGUAGGGGGCAAGCGUUAUCCGGAUUUACUGGGUGUAAAGGGAGCGUAGAUGGCAGCGCAAGUCUGAAGUGAAAUCCCAUGGCUUAACCAUGGAACUGCUUUGGAAACUGUGCAGCUGGAGUGCAGGAGG
RNAcentral lists this ribosomal RNA (305 nucleotides) under uncultured bacterium. RNAcentral's name for it is "bacterial SSU rRNA". It matches the Rfam family "Bacterial small subunit ribosomal RNA", at positions 333 to 655 of the family's 1533-position model. The record is from RNAcentral.